AUGAUAAUGAGAGGUGACCGCCUACAGUAACAUCUGAAAGCUUCUGCUGGAGAAAAAAAAUCCACCUCUGCACACAGCCAUGCACUAAAAGCUUCACCCCUUUUUAAUAUCAGCGAAGAGA
Salarias fasciatus (jewelled blenny) is the source of this 121-nucleotide long non-coding RNA. RefSeq lists it as uncharacterized. Lineage: Eukaryota; Metazoa; Chordata; Actinopteri; Blenniiformes; Blenniidae. The transcript is spliced from 4 exons. The record is from RefSeq and is a predicted model, not a curated record.